Scylla paramamosain (green mud crab) is the source of this 1221-nucleotide long non-coding RNA. RefSeq lists it as uncharacterized. The record is from RefSeq and is a predicted model, not a curated record. The transcript is spliced from 4 exons. NCBI's taxonomy places the organism in Eukaryota, Metazoa, Arthropoda, Malacostraca, Decapoda, Portunidae.
CGAAACAUGAAUAAGGAGAGAUGGAGGAAAAGUGAGGAGGAAGAUGAAGGAGAAGACACGUGAAGGGAAGAAGAAGUGAGGAGGAGAGAUAGAGAGAGAUAAAAGAGGAAAACUUUAACAGAAAUACAAAAGGGAGUAGAUGAACACGUAGGAGGGUAAAAGUGCACAGAAUCGUACUAAUAUCCCAUAAAUCAACACAAUAAAGCAUCAAAUUUCACGCGCCGCGCCGCACAACACACUCACCCAGGCGAAGAACCUCUGCCAAAAUGCCCCGCGUCGGAAGUGAGACUCGCCGCGCCGCCGCCACGCCUCCCAAAUCCCCAGAUGCACCUGUCAGUCGACCAUUUGCUCUUCUCACGUGUGUCAGCCGUGACGUCACUACAGGAGGGAGUGACAGGGUUGGGGAGUAGUAGGUGGAGAAGCUGGGAGAAGGUGUGGCGGUGUUUUGUGCUGUUUUCGCCAGGAAUUAUCAGCCUGCGCCCCGCCCCAUCAAAGCGGGCGGGGCACGCUGGCCCUCAGGUCGCCGCAGAGUGUCCCCAGUCGCCGCCAAGGUACUGUGUCUUCCAUAUCACUUCCACCUCUGCAAUGUAAGAGAGAAGAGAGGCUACGGGAGACUCUCUUCAUCUCCACCAGGAAGGAAAGUGAUGCUCAUAAGUUGUGUCCGCGAAGGUUUGAGCAACAGUGCGUCGUGAGGAGAGGAGUGCAGGGUGCCAGCGACGGGGGAGGAAUCUGAGCUGGAUACGAUUCUUCAUGCCAACGAAGCAGAACACAACUUAUGACCGUGACUGUACACGUAUUACCUAAACAGCGAAGUUUCAUACAGGGACUGCCACGUGUAGGCCUGGUGGCUUCUUGCAGCUUCCCUUAUUUUUUUUAAUGUUCUUAUGUAAGGACCUCAAGAACUGUUGCUGUUUGGACUUCCUUUGUAUUUAAUUUAGAAAACCAGUAAAGAAUAGAAAUUAGUUACAGAAAAAAAAAUUGAAACUCCAAUACUGAUCAAUACCAAAGGCAGUUCCACCUCCUGAUGAAAUAAAAAAAAGAAAAGAAAAGAAAAGACUCCUAAGAUACUUUUAAUUCUCAGGUACUUUGAAAUGACUCUUAGAUGCAAACUUUAAUCUUUGGAACUUUUUUCAUUCACCAUUUUUAGGUCCAAGUUUGAGAAAAAUAUUGACUUCGUGACUAACUUUUCAUUCUCAGAUCUGUUUAUUAAUACGGAUCUCU